Molecule: transfer RNA, 63 nt
Filed under: Monolepta hieroglyphica
Lineage: Eukaryota; Metazoa; Arthropoda; Insecta; Coleoptera; Chrysomelidae
Also listed under: 1 other name
Description: tRNA-Pro
Source: RNAcentral
CAGAUAUUAGUUUAUGAAAAAUAUUAAUUUUGGAGAUUAAAGAUAAAUAUUAUUUAUAUCUGA